AGAGGGAUAGCUGGGUCAAAUGGUGGUUUAAUUCCAAUUUUUCCAAGGAAUGUCCAUACUGCUUUCCAUAUUGGCUACACCAAUUUGCAAUCCCACCAGCAAU
This 103-nucleotide microRNA precursor is filed under the name Marmota monax (woodchuck). The record is from RNAcentral. Lineage: Eukaryota; Metazoa; Chordata; Mammalia; Rodentia; Sciuridae.